This 472-nucleotide ribosomal RNA is filed under the name uncultured bacterium. Its description in RNAcentral is "partial 16S ribosomal RNA". It matches the Rfam family "Bacterial small subunit ribosomal RNA", at positions 28 to 507 of the family's 1533-position model. The record is from RNAcentral.
GACGAACGCUGGCGGCGUGCUUAACACAUGCAAGUCGAACGCAGAAGCUUGGUGCUUGCUCUGGGUGGGUGAGUGGCGAACGGGUGAGUAACACGUGGAUAACCUACCCUUGAGUCUGGGAUAAGCUUGGGAAACUGGAGCUAAUACUGGAUACGAUAUGGAACCGCAUGGUUGUGUGUGGAAAGAGUUUUUGUGGUUUUGGUUGAGCUCGCGGCCUAUCAGCUUGUCGGUGGGGUAAUGGCACGCCAAGGCGACGAGGGGUAGCCGACCUGAGAGGGGGGCCGGGCACACGAGGACUGCGAGACGGCGCAGACGGGUAUGGUACGCAACGGUGGAGAAUAUUACAGAGUAGGCGGGCGCCAGAGACGACGAUGCCGGGUGAGGGAUGACGUGCUUCGAGUUGUGAACCACUGUCAGCGCGGAUGAGGCGAUAGUGACGGUACCUGAAGAAGAAGCCACGGCUAACUACGUG